RNAcentral lists this long non-coding RNA (1367 nucleotides) under Pogona vitticeps (central bearded dragon). RNAcentral describes it as "lncRNA (ENSPVIG00000018117.1)". The record is from RNAcentral. Lineage: Eukaryota; Metazoa; Chordata; Lepidosauria; Squamata; Agamidae.
CUGGCUGGGCUUCUCACAGCCUCGUGUGCUAAUGGGAGCUGGCAGGCGGAUGUCCUCAGAGAUGCAAAUCCAGCGCGCUCUGGAAAGGAGCAUGCACGCCACCGUCUCCUGCUUCUGGCUGUGACGUGUGGCUUUGUGAGUGCCUCGCUGAGAGAGGGUGAGGAAAACUGGGCAGCCUAUGGCAGUGGAGCAGGUCGCUGUGCCAGAACUGCAAAAAAGACCGUCUACCAGGCGUGGGAAACGAAGCGAGCAGCUUGUGGUUAAGCUGGGCAGGAGUCCCUUGAUUCGCCUUCGUACCGAGCGCGAGCUCACCUUUGCGUUUUCUUGCGUUCCGUUCAUUCCUUCAUUUGUUUGUCUUAUUUCUAGGCUUAUUUCACGGGGUUCAAGGGGGCGUGCAUUGCAGUUGAAAACACAAUUAGUUGUAGAUUUUAACAAAACCUCAAAGAUAAAAACUGAUUAAAAUACAUGGAAUGAUUAAAAGCCCGUAAAACAUGAAUAACCCUCUUAACUCAUUCUGUGUGAGGUUUUUGGUUUCUCUGUUUUUGAAGGGCGGUGAGGUUAAAGGGACAGGUUUCCUAACUGUUUUUGUGUUAGCCGGAAGCCGGCCCUGCUGACGGGGCACAUUCGCCCGCCUGUCAGUGGACAGGAAAAGUUUGGUGCUUCGUUUCAUUUCAGCAAAAUGAAAUGAAACAAACUGGUUCAGUUUGGGGUGCACGAACCAAACCAGUUCGUCUUAUUUCCCCCUGGUUCAAACUUCGGCUCAUGCUCAUCUCUGGUCCCUGAUGUCCUCUUGUGAUUUGGUCCCAGUGUGCCUUUUCCAUGCCCAGCUUCCUUCACCUCUUUGUCCACAGUGUGGAAAGUUUCGGAGGCUGCUUUCCCCAGAAAGGCCUUGGAAAACCCACCCCUUCCUUCUCCUUCCCCACAGGGAGUUCAGCGGGCAGUGGAGCAGUUUGCCGUGCCCAAGGAGCGAAUCCUCCAGGAUCUGAGCAAUAUCAGCUGGAGUAUCGGAAGCACCAUCCACCUGGUGCUCAAGGGGACGGUGUAUUCAGCCAUGGCUGCCACGAAGGCUCGGGUGCAAGACCUACAGAACUCCUGCUCUCAUUUACGGACACUCAACUCAACGGUCCAGAGCCUGAUCCGGCACCAGGAAGAGCUGGAAGCAAUCCUGAAAGACCGGAAGGGCAGCAUCGUUUCCCUUCUGGAGGACCCGCAGUGUACCUACUGCAUUAGUGCCCUGGGCAGAGCACAGAACUUGGAGUUGGGGGUGAACUACUGGAUGGUGAGUUCCUCCGGAGUGGGUGCAGGACCCCCAACGUGGGGAGACUGGCUCCAUCACAGAGCAUCCUUAUAAAGGGCAGGCUAUGGUC